UACGUAGGGUGCGAGCGUUAAUCGGAAUUACUGGGCGUAAAGCGUGCGCAGGCGGUUUUGUAAGCCAGAUGUGAAAUCCCCGGGCUUAACCUGGGAAUGGCAUUUGGGGCUGCAAGGCUGGAGUUUGGCAGAGGAGACUGGAAUUCCCGGUGUAGCAGUGAAAUGCGUAGAUAUCGGGAGGAAUACCGAUGGCGAAGGCAGGUCUCUGGGCUAUAACUGACGCUCAUGCACGAAAGCGUGGGGAGCAAACAGG
This 253-nucleotide ribosomal RNA is filed under the name uncultured bacterium. RNAcentral's name for it is "partial 16S ribosomal RNA". It matches the Rfam family "Bacterial small subunit ribosomal RNA", at positions 524 to 776 of the family's 1533-position model. The record is from RNAcentral.